UGGGCGACGGUAACCACUCACCAUCAGGUGGGCCGUAUGCUCGUCUGCCAACAAGGGCAAUAAAAAAAAUAAAAAAACCAGUGUCGCUGUGAAAUUGAAUUAAGGCUAGAAUUAAGUCGAUUAGUCGGCUAUCGGUAUCGGUAAAUGAAAAACAGUCAGGAAAAGUUUUAUUCCAUUAUUUACUCCGAUACUAACGGGUGUGAUAUUCCAAGGUUUUAUUCAUUACAAAGUUUUUGAAGUUGAAACGACUGCGUCGUCGAUGAGUGAUAAAGUGUAAUUAAUAUUCAAGGAAUUUGAAAUGCAUUGAUUACGUUAUGUCAACAUUUGUAAAAUUACAGAGAUUCGGAUAAGAUUAUGUGAUCUACAAA
Long non-coding RNA from Bombyx mandarina (wild silkworm), 368 nucleotides. Lineage: Eukaryota; Metazoa; Arthropoda; Insecta; Lepidoptera; Bombycidae. The record is from RefSeq and is a predicted model, not a curated record.